RNAcentral lists this ribosomal RNA (684 nucleotides) under Austroparmelina aff. pseudorelicina MAFLich 16115. RNAcentral describes it as "SSU rRNA". It matches the Rfam family "Bacterial small subunit ribosomal RNA", at positions 401 to 1079 of the family's 1533-position model. Lineage: Eukaryota; Fungi; Ascomycota; Lecanoromycetes; Lecanorales; Parmeliaceae. The record is from RNAcentral.
AGGAUGAUGCAAGAUCGACUAUGUUGAAUAAAAUUCUAGGUAGAAUUAUGAUAAUGACAUUGUCUGCCUAUGUGUCUUGACCAAAUUACGUGCCAGCAGUCGCGGUAAUACGUAGAAGACUAGUGUUAUUCAUGUUUAAUCGGUUUAAAGGGUACCUAGACGGUAAAUCAAGCUUUCUCAUAAGAAAUGGACUAAUUUACUAGAGUUACUUNCGGUGGGGCAUUAAAGUACUGCUGGUGUAGAGAUGAAAUUCUGUCAUACCUCUUUUCGCAAGAAAAAUCAUGGCACAGGUACAGGCGAAGGCAUCCCCUUAUGUGAUAACUGACGUUGAGGGACGAAGGCUUCAUGUAACAAACAGGAUUAGAUACCCUAUUAGUUGAAGCAGAAAAUGAUGAAUGUCAUAGACUAGAUAGAUAAGUUUAUUCUAUAAAUGAAAGUGUAAGCAUUCCACCUCAUGAGUAAUUUGGCAACAUUGGAAUUGAAAUCAUUAGACCGUUUCUGAAACCAGUAGUGAAGUAUGUUGUUUAAUUUGAUAACCCGCAAAAAACCUUACCACAACUUGAAUAUUUAUAUUUAUUCUUGUUUUUUCUUGUUUUUUUNUUUUCUAAAAAAGUCAUAAAAGGCAAGAACAUAUAUUUACAAGCGUUGCACGGCUGUCUUCAGUUAAUGUCGCGAGACUGUGGU